Molecule: ribosomal RNA, 248 nt
Filed under: uncultured bacterium
Lineage: Bacteria
Description: partial 16S ribosomal RNA
Rfam family: Bacterial small subunit ribosomal RNA
Source: RNAcentral
UACGUAGGGUGCAAGCGUUAAUCGGAAUUACUGGGCGUAAAGCGUGCGCAGGCGGCUAUGCAAGACAGAUGUGAAAUCCCCGGGCUCAACCUGGGAACUGCAUUUGUGACUGCAUGGCUAGAGUACGGUAGAGGGGGAUGGAAUUCCGCGUGUAGCAGUGAAAUGCGUAGAUAUGCGGAGGAACACCGAUGGCGAAGGCAAUCCCCUGGACCUGUACUGACGCUCAUGCACGAAAGCGUGGGGGAGCA